RNAcentral lists this transfer RNA (80 nucleotides) under Proteobacteria bacterium TMED51. RNAcentral describes it as "tRNA-Pro". Lineage: Bacteria; Pseudomonadati; Pseudomonadota. The record is from RNAcentral.
AGGGUUUUAGGGCUAUUAGUUAGAAGGACGCUGCCUUCGGGAGACAGGGGCCGGAGGUUCAAAUCCUCUCACCCCGACCA